GAUGAACGCUAGCGGCAGGCUUAACACAUGCAAGUCGAGGGGCAGCGCGGGAUAGCAAUAUCCUGGCGGCGACCGGCGGAAGGGUGCGUAACGCGUGAGCGACAUGCCCGUUGCCCGGGGACAACCGGUGGAAACGCCGACUAAUCCCCGAUGGGAUACGAUGCUUCAUGGCAUUGUAUUGAAAGUUACGGCGGCGACGGAUUGGCUCGCGUCCGAUUAGCUGGUUGGCGGGGUAACGGCCCACCAAGGCUGCGAUCGGUAGGGGUUCUGAGAGGAACGCCCCCCACAAUGGGACUGAGACACGGCCCAUACUCCUACGGGAGGCAGCAGUGAGGAAUAUUGGUCAAUGGGCGGAAGCCUGAACCAGCCAUGCCGCGUGCGGGAAGGAGGCCCUAUGGGCUGUGAACCGCUUUUGCCUGGGGGCAAUAAGGGCGUCGCGCACGUCCGAUGAGAGUACCAGGCGAAUAAGCAUCGGCUAACUCCGUG
This 486-nucleotide ribosomal RNA is filed under the name uncultured bacterium. RNAcentral's name for it is "partial 16S ribosomal RNA". It matches the Rfam family "Bacterial small subunit ribosomal RNA", at positions 28 to 507 of the family's 1533-position model. The record is from RNAcentral.